Molecule: ribosomal RNA, 455 nt
Filed under: uncultured cyanobacterium
Lineage: Bacteria; Bacillati; Cyanobacteriota
Description: bacterial SSU rRNA
Rfam family: Bacterial small subunit ribosomal RNA
Source: RNAcentral
AUUGUAUCCACGAUUGGGGAAUUUUCCGCAAUGGGCGAAAGCCUGACGGAGCAAUACCGCGUGAGGGAGGAAGGCUCUUGGGUCGUAAACCUCUUUUCUCAGGGAAGAACACAAUGACGGUACCUGAGGAAUAAGCAUCGGCUAACUCCGUGCCAGCAGCCGCGGUAAUACGGAGGAUGCAAGCGUUAUCCGGAAUGAUUGGGCGUAAAGCGUCCGCAGGUGGCUGUGUAAGUCUGCUGUUAAAGAGUCUAGCUCAACUAGAUAAGAGCAGUGGAAACUACACGGCUAGAGUACGUUCGGGGCAGAGGGAAUUCCUGGUGUAGCGGUGAAAUGCGUAGAGAUCAGGAAGAACACCAGUGGCGAAGGCGCUCUGCUAGGCCGUAACUGACACUGAGGGACGAAAGCUAGGGGAGCGAAUGGGAUUAGAUACCCCAGUAGUCAAUCGUGGAUACAAU